Molecule: ribosomal RNA, 253 nt
Filed under: uncultured bacterium
Lineage: Bacteria
Description: partial 16S ribosomal RNA
Rfam family: Bacterial small subunit ribosomal RNA
Source: RNAcentral
UACGAAGGGGGCUAGCGUUGCUCGGAAUCACUGGGCGUAAAGCGCACGUAGGCGGCUCUCUAAGUCAGGGGUGAAAUCCCGGAGCUCAACUCCAGAACUGCCUUUGAUACUGGAGAGCUUGAGUCCGGAAGAGGUGAGUGGAACUCCGAGUGUAGAGGUGAAAUUCGUAGAUAUUCGGAAGAACACCAGUGGCGAAGGCGGCUCACUGGUCCGGUACUGACGCUGAGGUGCGAAAGCGUGGGGAGCAAACAGG